GCUUCGGGGCAGGGUGAAAAUCUUUGUUGAUUCAUUCCCUACCGGCGGUAAAAGUCCGCUAACGGUUCCGGUAGUCCGGUUCCGCCGAUACGGUGAAAUUCCGUAACCGACAGUAAAGUCUGGAUGGAAGAAGU
Molecule: non-coding RNA, 134 nt
Filed under: chicken gut metagenome
Description: FMN riboswitch (RFN element)
Rfam family: FMN riboswitch aptamer (RFN element)
About the family: The RFN element is a highly conserved domain that is found frequently in the 5'-untranslated regions of prokaryotic mRNAs that encode for flavin mononucleotide (FMN) biosynthesis and transport proteins. This element is a metabolite-dependent riboswitch that directly binds FMN in the absence of proteins. In Bacillus subtilis, the riboswitch most likely controls gene expression by causing premature transcription termination within the 5' untranslated region of the ribDEAHT operon and precluding access to the ribosome-binding site of ypaA mRNA.
Source: RNAcentral